RNAcentral lists this ribosomal RNA (426 nucleotides) under uncultured bacterium. RNAcentral's name for it is "bacterial SSU rRNA". It matches the Rfam family "Bacterial small subunit ribosomal RNA", at positions 355 to 774 of the family's 1533-position model. The record is from RNAcentral.
UGGGGAAUUUUGCGCAAUGACCGAAAGGUUGACGCAGCAACGCCGCGUGUAUGAUGAAGGCUUUCGGGUCGUAAAGUACUUUCAGUGGGGAAAAACUGCAUAAUCAGUAACUGGGUUAUGAUUGACGGUACCCACAGAAGCAGCCCCGGCUAACUCCGUGCCAGCAGCCGCGGUAAUACGGAGGGGGCAAGCGUUGUUCGGAGUCACUGGGCGUAAAGAGCUCGUAGGCGGCAGUGUAAGUCGGGAGUUAAAGGCAACAGCUCAACUGUUGUAAGGCUUCUGAAACUACAUUGCUAGAGUGCCAGAGAGGUAUGCGGAAUUCCCUGUGUAGCGGUGAAAUGCGUAGAUAUUGGGAAGAACACCGGUGGCGAAAGCGACUUGCUGGGCAGCAACUGACGCUGAGCGCGAAAGCCAGGGGAGCAAACG